CUUCCCUUUCCCAGUGUCAAUCUUGCUACAGAAUCAUAGAUUGGAAAGGGCUUUAGAAAUCCCAUAGCCCUAUUGUUUCAUGUUACAGAUGGAGAAACUGAGACCUAUAGGGUAUAAGUGACCAGGCUAAGGUUUUACAGUUAGAAAUAGAGUGAGAACCUUUAUUUUCUCUUUAACCUCCUUUGGCUAGCAUUUUUGAAGUCCUUUAUAUCUUGGCCUGGUCACUCGCUGUCCUUUCUCCUUUUAUCAUCUUUCACUGUAUCUGUCUCCUCUUACCAACUAACACACUAU
This 291-nucleotide long non-coding RNA is filed under the name Homo sapiens (human). RNAcentral describes it as "non-protein coding lnc-KCNV2-10:1". The record is from RNAcentral. Lineage: Eukaryota; Metazoa; Chordata; Mammalia; Primates; Hominidae.